UAUCUACAAGAGGUGAUCGCUUAAUAUACUAUUAAGAGGAAAGUCCGAACUCCUCGUGGAAACACGGUCGCGGUAGUGGGUAACACCCACCCAAUAUGUGGUGACACAUGUUGCGGGAAAGUGCCACAGAGACUAUACUAUUUUACUGCAUUGCAGUGAAAAAAAGGUGAAAAGUGUGUACAUGUGUGUAUUCCAUUCGCAUAUGCAUGGAAUGCACGCUAGUACACUCGCGUACUGGCAACAGUAUUGCGUGGUAAACCCUGCCUGGAGCAAGAGCAGCCCUUUUCAACACUUGUUGAAAUUGGAAAAGUUCGUUCGCAAAGAAUACCACAGUAAUGUGGUAUCAAGAUACAUGAUCAUCCUCUGGAUAAAACUAGAGAACAGAAUUCGGCUUAUUCUUGUAGAUAUUAA
This 411-nucleotide RNase P RNA is filed under the name Candidatus Magasanikiibacteriota bacterium. Its description in RNAcentral is "Candidatus Magasanikbacteria bacterium RNase P RNA component class A". It matches the Rfam family "Bacterial RNase P class A". Rfam says of the family: Ribonuclease P (RNase P) is a ubiquitous endoribonuclease, found in archaea, bacteria and eukarya as well as chloroplasts and mitochondria. Its best characterised activity is the generation of mature 5'-ends of tRNAs by cleaving the 5'-leader elements of precursor-tRNAs. The record is from RNAcentral. Lineage: Bacteria; Candidatus Magasanikiibacteriota.